This 73-nucleotide transfer RNA is filed under the name Elusimicrobia bacterium ADurb.Bin231. Its description in RNAcentral is "tRNA-Met". It matches the Rfam family "tRNA". Rfam says of the family: Transfer RNA (tRNA) molecules are approximately 80 nucleotides in length. Their secondary structure includes four short double-helical elements and three loops (D, anti-codon, and T loops). Further hydrogen bonds mediate the characteristic L-shaped molecular structure. tRNAs have two regions of fundamental functional importance: the anti-codon, which is responsible for specific mRNA codon recognition, and the 3' end, to which the tRNAs corresponding amino acid is attached (by aminoacyl-tRNA synthetases). tRNAs cope with the degeneracy of the genetic code in two manners: having more than one tRNA (with a specific anti-codon) for a particular amino acid; and 'wobble' base-pairing, i.e. permitting non-standard base-pairing at the 3rd anti-codon position. Lineage: Bacteria; Pseudomonadati; Elusimicrobiota. The record is from RNAcentral.
UGCGGGGUGGAGCAGAGGCAGCUCGAAAGGCUCAUAACCUUUAGGUCGGGGGUUCGAAUCCCUCUCCCGCUAC